This 107-nucleotide ribosomal RNA is filed under the name Fragilariopsis cylindrus CCMP1102. Lineage: Eukaryota; Bacillariophyta; Bacillariophyceae; Bacillariales; Bacillariaceae. The record is from RNAcentral.
GAGAACGACUAUACCAAUAUGACAUCACCGCUUCCCGUUUGCUCAGCCAAGUUAAGCAUGUUCGGGCCUGGUUAGUACUACGAGAGGAAUCCCAGGUGUUGUUCUCA